This 468-nucleotide ribosomal RNA is filed under the name uncultured bacterium. Its description in RNAcentral is "partial 16S ribosomal RNA". It matches the Rfam family "Bacterial small subunit ribosomal RNA", at positions 28 to 507 of the family's 1533-position model. The record is from RNAcentral.
GACGAACGCUGGCGGCGUGCUUAACACAUGCAAGUCGAACGGAAAGGCCCUGCUUUUGUGGGGUGCUCGAGUGGCGAACGGGUGAGUAACACGUGAGUAACCUGCCCUUGACUUUGGGAUAACUUCAGGAAACUGGGGCUAAUACCGGAUAGGAGCUCCUGCUGCAUGGUGGGGGUUGGAAAGUUUCGGCGGGUGGGGAUGGACUCGCGGCUUAUCAGCUUGUUGGUGGGGUAGUGGCUUACCAAGGCUUUGACGGGUAGCCGGCCUGAGAGGGUGACCGGCCACAUUGGGACUGAGAUACGGCCCAGACUACUACGGGAGGCAGCAGUGGGGAAUAUUGCACAAUGGGCGGAAGCCUGAUGCAGCAACGCCGCGUGCGGGAUGACGGCCUUCGGGUUGUAAACCGCUUUCGCCUGGGACGAAGCGUGAGUGACGGUAAUGGGUAAAGAAGCACCGGCUAACUACGUG